RNAcentral lists this ribosomal RNA (468 nucleotides) under uncultured bacterium. RNAcentral's name for it is "partial 16S ribosomal RNA". It matches the Rfam family "Bacterial small subunit ribosomal RNA", at positions 28 to 507 of the family's 1533-position model. The record is from RNAcentral.
GACGAACGCUGGCGGCGUGCUUAACACAUGCAAGUCGAACGGAAAGGCCCUGCUUUUGUGGGGUGCUCGAGUGGCGAACGGGUGAGUAACACGUGAGUAACCUGCCCUUGACUUUGGGAUAACUUCAGGAAACUGGGGCUAAUACCGGAUAGGAGCUCCUGCUGCAUGGUGGGGGUUGGAAAGUUUCGGCGGUUGGGGAUGGACUCGCGGCUUAUCAGCUUGUUGGUGGGGUAGUGGCUUACCAAGGCUUUGACGGGUAGCCGGCCUGAGAGGGUGACCGGCCACAUUGGGACUGAGAUACGGCUCAGACUCCUACGGGAGGCGGCAGUGGGGAAUAUUGCACAAUAGGCGGAAGCCUGAUGCAGCAACGCCGCGUGCGGGAUGACGGCCUUCGGGUUGUAAACCGCUUUCGCCUGUGACGAAGCGUGAGUGACGGUAAUGGGUAAAGAAGCACCGGCUAACUACGUG